UACGGGGGGGGCAAGCGUUGUUCGGAAUUACUGGGCGUAAAGGGCUCGUAGGCGGCCAACUAAGUCAGACGUGAAAUCCCCAGGCUUAACCUGGGAACUGCGUCUGAUACUGGAUGGCUUGAAUUCGGGAGAGGGAUGCAGAAUUCCAGGUGUAGCGGUGAAAUGCGUAGAUAUCUGGAGGAAUACCGGUGGCGAAGGCGGCAUCCUGGACCGAGAUUGACACUGAGGAGCGAAAGCCAGGGGAGCAAACGGG
This 253-nucleotide ribosomal RNA is filed under the name uncultured bacterium. RNAcentral's name for it is "partial 16S ribosomal RNA". It matches the Rfam family "Bacterial small subunit ribosomal RNA", at positions 524 to 776 of the family's 1533-position model. The record is from RNAcentral.